This 767-nucleotide long non-coding RNA is filed under the name Rattus norvegicus (Norway rat). RNAcentral describes it as "long non-coding RNA NONRATT000379". The record is from RNAcentral. Lineage: Eukaryota; Metazoa; Chordata; Mammalia; Rodentia; Muridae.
CCAGUUUUCCAGAGGCAGCACCUUCAGUACCUCGAGCUCCUGGGCCCUAUGGCCCACACCGGCCGCCCCAACCCCAAGGUCCAGGCUUGGACAGCGAUAGCUUGAAGAGAGAGAAGGAUGACAUCUAUGGGUGAGUGAGUCUAGGGACAGGCAAGGGUUCCCCAGAGUGUUCUUUUUGUCUCUCAGGGUCUGUUUCUCUCCUUGUGUCUGUCUCUGAGCACUCCAUAUUUCCCCUCAUGGAUGAAUACCCACUUUCCUGUCCCCACAGACACCCCCUCUUCCCACUCUUGGCCCUGGUCUUUGAGAAGUGUGAGCUGGCUACAUGCUCGCCCCGUGAUGGGGCCUCGGCUGGGCUGGGUUCACCCCCAGGUGGUGACGUCUGCUCCUCUGACUCCUUCAAUGAGGAUAUUGCUGCCUUUGCUAAGCAGGUGGGCAGCCCCAGAACGAAGUACUAAGGGAGGCAGCAGGCAGGGCGGGCGGGAGGCGGGACCACCUUGCCUGGCCUCUCUUCUCCCUCCCAGAUCCGCUCCGAGAGGCCGCUGUUCUCUUCCAACCCGGAGCUGGACAACCUGGUGAGGCCCAGGCCCUCCCCGUAUUCCCUCCGCAGCCAGCCCUUGUCCUUCCCCUUCCCCUUUGUUCCUGGGGUCGGCUGAGGGGUGAAGACAGGAAACCACUGGCCCACAUUUACAAACCACAAGAGUGUUGAGCAUUUGAGAACUCCAGGUGGUCAGAGACUGAAUCCCAGUUCUGCCAUUCUAACGUCAUGA